RNAcentral lists this non-coding RNA (110 nucleotides) under Protocruzia adhaerens. Lineage: Eukaryota; Ciliophora; Spirotrichea. The record is from RNAcentral.
AGGAGGAAAAAGUUAAACAAAGCAUUUGAAGAAAAAUCGGUCGCAUCGAAUACUUCUCUUUUUUUCAUUUCUAUUUCUUCUUCAUGCUUGAUAAUACAAUCUAUAAAAUC